Molecule: ribosomal RNA, 324 nt
Filed under: Leuconostoc mesenteroides
Lineage: Bacteria; Bacillati; Bacillota; Bacilli; Lactobacillales; Lactobacillaceae
Description: bacterial SSU rRNA
Rfam family: Bacterial small subunit ribosomal RNA
Source: RNAcentral
ACGCCCCAAACUCUUAUCGGGAGGGUGCAGUAGGGAAUCUUCCACAAUGGGCGAAAGCCUGAUGGAGCAACGCCGCGUGUGUGAUGAAGGCUUUCGGGUCGUAAAGCACUGUUGUAUGGGAAGAACAGUCUAGAAUAGGAAAUGAUUUUAGUUUGACGGUACCAUACCAGAAAGGGAGGGCUAAAUACGUGCCAGCAGCCGCGGUAAUACGUAUGUCCCGAGCGUUAUCCGGAUUUAUUGGGCGUAAAGCGAGCGCAGACGGUUUAUUAAGUCUGAUGUGAAAGCCCGGAGCUCAACUCCGGAAUGGCAUUGGAAACUGGUAAC